Molecule: ribosomal RNA, 253 nt
Filed under: uncultured bacterium
Lineage: Bacteria
Description: partial 16S ribosomal RNA
Rfam family: Bacterial small subunit ribosomal RNA
Source: RNAcentral
UACGUAGGGUGCAGGCGUUAAUCGGAAUUACUGGGCGUAAAGCGUGCGUAGACGGUUAUUUAAGUCGGGUGUGAAAGCCCCGGGCUCAACCUGGGAAUUGCAUUCGAGACUGAAUAGCUAGGGUACGGUAGAGGGAAGCGGAAUUUCCGGUGUAGCGGUGAAAUGCGUAGAUAUCGGAAGGAACAUCAGUGGCGAAAGCGGCUUCCUGGACCAGUACCGACGUUCAGGCACGAAAGCGUGGGGAGCAAACAGG